GGGCCCGCACAAGCAGUGGAGCAUGUGGUUUAAUUCGAUGCAACGCGAAGAACCUUACCAGGCCUUGACAUCCUCGGAACUUUCUAGAGAUAGAUUGGUGCCUUCGGGAACCGAGUGACAGGUGCUGCAUGGCUGUCGUCAGCUCGUGUCGUGAGAUGUUGGGUUAAGUCCCGCAACGAGCGCAACCCUUGUCCCUAGUUGCCAGCAUUAAGUUGGGCACUCUAGGGAGACUGCCGGUGAUAAGCCGGAGGAAGGUGGGGAUGACGUCAAGUCCUCAUGGCCUUUAUGUCCAGGGCUACACACGUGUUACAAUGCUACGGACAAAGGGCAGCAAGUUCGCGAGGACAAGCAAAUCCCAUAAACCGUGGCUCAGUUCAGAUCGUAGGCUGCAACUCGCCUACGUG
This 404-nucleotide ribosomal RNA is filed under the name uncultured bacterium. Its description in RNAcentral is "bacterial SSU rRNA". It matches the Rfam family "Bacterial small subunit ribosomal RNA", at positions 917 to 1322 of the family's 1533-position model. The record is from RNAcentral.